UAUGCAUGGUUUAUUCCUCUGGCUUGGA
Molecule: non-coding RNA, 28 nt
Filed under: Homo sapiens (human)
Lineage: Eukaryota; Metazoa; Chordata; Mammalia; Primates; Hominidae
Source: RNAcentral